UAAUUUUACAGAUUUAAAUAGAAAAAAGUGUCUUGCUAUUUUUAAGAUGCUAUAAAUUUUAUUAAGCCAUGGAAUUAGGUCUGUUAAGAGUUUUCUUUGUAAAUCAGCAUACUAACAUACAGCAAAACAUAAAAUUACUUCCAUUGCUGGCAAUUACUUUUGGCAACUUUCCAGCAAUCAUAUCUCUAUAACUUUCUAGUAAAAAAAUCAAAACAAAUUUAACCAAAGUCAGUUGGCAAUAUAAAAUGACGUAACAAUUAUUUCUUACCCAGUUUUUUUCUUUUUCUUCAUAGAUCUGUUCUUAUUCCUGAUGCACAUUUGAUUGUUUCGAAUUUUUACCAAUAUAUUAGUUGAUCAGUAUUUAUAUGUUUUUCAGUGUUUUGAUCCAUUAAUACUUUGUUCUGUUAUAGUGAUGAGUUAUUAUUGUAGUCUUAUUUAUAGAUUUUAACAGUAUUUUUUGUGGUUGUUAGUUAAUGUAUAGUGUUUAAUUAUAGCUGGUAUGAUAGUAAAAUUUUAUAACUCGACUGUAGUAGAAACCAGAAGACUGUUAUCUCCCUUUAAAUAUCUACGUUUGGUAAUUAUCUCCCUUUAAUUAUCAACAUUUGGUAAUUAUCUCCCUUUAAUUAUCAACAUUUUGUAAUUAUUAUCUCCCUUUAAUUAUCAAUAUUUGGUAAUUAUCUCCCUUGAUUAAAUAGAACAGUAAUAUAAAUUCAGGUAUUCUCCCUAUGCAUUCUACAAUUUGGUUUAAAGUGGAAUCCUGCUGUGUAUUUGACAGUCCCUUCACAAACAACCUUUUUGGUUUUGAUAAAAACCCAAGCCUAUUUUAGAUGGUCUGAUAAACAUAAAUGUAUACCUAUUAAAAUAUAUUUCUGAAAGGAAUAAUGUCAGCAUUUAUCACAGUCAUUGUGAACAAAUUUCUGAACAUAUUAUAACUCGAAAAGCUUCAGAAUUAAUAUUACAUUAGUGGUUUAUUUUCUGAGGAGUUAAAAUUGUUCUGAUUUGCAAGGCCAAACCUGUUUGUUAGGUUUUUCUUUUCUUUGUUCUGAUUUUCUUAAAAAUACAAUCUAUGUGAGGGAUUUUCUGGAAAUUUUAUUUUUAUUGGGCUAAUUUUAAAAGUCAUGGCUAGAAAAUUCUUUUUUACAGUAUCUCCCGUGUUAGAGAACCUGGAAAAUGGGUAUAACAAACUUAUCUAUUUAACAAUAUUUAUUAAAAAAAAGACUGUUUUUGAAAAAUAGUCAUUGUGAAACCUAUAUGAUUUUUUUUAUUCUGUUUGUGGUGAUCUAUAAAAAAAAAUUCCAAUUAGCUCUGAAUUUUCAGAUAGUCACAUUAUUAUGAAAAUUUCAAAUGGAAAUAUAACUAGUUACAAUACUUAAGACACAGUUAAAUUGAAUAUCUUCAGCUCGCCAUAUGAUUAUUAUAAGGGUUUUUUGCUGUUCAAAUAUUUGCCUCUAUCAUCUUCAUCACAUAUUUUCCAUUGCAUUUCCACAUAAUAUUUAUCAAUAUAUUAUUCAGGACUGAACUGUUGCUUUAGCAGUGAUAUAUGAAUUUCAUGAUAUUCAUGUGUAAAUUUUUGUUGAAUCAUGAUGCAGAAAACUUUUUGAGUCCAUUGAUCAUGUCAUGUGAAUUACAUAUAUAUUUAUGUAAAAGUCAGUAAACCAUAGAGUUAUAUAUUUUUCUGAAAUCUGUAAAUUUUGUGUAAAUAAAUGUAUAUUGUAUAUUAAUAAUUAUUAGUAUUUGGACUUUUACUGAAUAGAAAUAUUCAAAAUAGUCCUUUUUCGCUUAUUUAAGGAAGACAUGUUUUGAAACAGUUGCAUGUGCAUGCUGAAAUAAAAGUUUUAUAAUGGUAUGACCAGAAACAGUGUUUUGAGUUGCAUGGAUGUAUAAUUUAUUUUUGUGGAACAUAUUCAUAAUAUUCGUAAAAAUUUAUCAUUUCUGAGAAAUUAUGCAAAAAUUUAAAGAGAAACAGUUCUAUAGAUUCUUUUUAUAUUUGUAAUAUAUGUAUUCAGUUUUCCUAAAUUUUAAUGAUACCAGUUUCAGAGUGCAAUAUUUAGAUAUUUUGGGAAAUUAAGAAUUUAAACUUUAAAGUAAUUUAUUUCAACAUCAGAAUGGCUAUGGGAUUUUUUUUUGCUUUCAUUUCUAAAUACAUGUAGAUGUUUAUUUAGGGUCUGGUGUUGUGUAUAUAGUGUAAAUAUGAGACAAGAAAGGCAGC
RNAcentral lists this long non-coding RNA (2209 nucleotides) under Mytilus galloprovincialis (Mediterranean mussel). The record is from RNAcentral. Lineage: Eukaryota; Metazoa; Mollusca; Bivalvia; Mytilida; Mytilidae.